CAAACAUCCAGAACAUAGCCGGCAGCAAUAAUUUUGCCAAAAUAAGUGGAAUUUUUUUUCACAAGUAGUCUUAUAUAUGGAGAAGAUUUUCAUAUUGGACUUAUUUAAGAAGCAAAGAAACCAUCACAUCAGCUCCUCUCUGAAGCAGAAAUCUAGAUGUUAACCCUAAGAGAUGACAAAAAUCUACUUUGGAAGUACUCUGUCAAGACCUGAGUCCUCAUGAAAGAGAGAAAGAAGUCAAAUUACAUGUUUAUAAUGUCUUUUGAGAGUCUUCUGUAUCUCCAGAAAGAAAGCCUCAUUUGGAAAAAAAAUACGUAUUUAUAAUCACACAUAUAAAUUCUGUUAUGUAUCCACAAUGUGCUGGAAAAAUUUUCUGACAAGUGAUUUUGUUUCCCUCAGUUCUCCAUAACUUUAAUAAAGUGAUCUAUCUAAACCCCAAUUUAUGUCGCGUAACUUCCCUGCUAAAAUACUCUCCAGGAGCCUCUAUCACUUGCAAAAGAAAGUUCAAGUUCCUUAGUAUGGCAUCUGUUUCUUCACCAUAUUUCAGCUGGACCACCAACCAAGGCCUCCUUGAAGAUCUCUCAGCUUCUGCUUGUGCCCUGCUUAAUCCAUUCUCUCCGCAAACAGCCUGAAUGAGAAAUGAGAUGAUGUAGUGACCCCGGCUUCAAAGCCUGUCAAUAACUCUCUAAUGCACAUAAGAUAAAUAUAAUCUCCUUACUACCACCUACAAGCGGCUGUAAAAUUUGGCUCUGCCGAUAUCUCAGGCAUCCUCUGCCACUUC
Molecule: long non-coding RNA, 781 nt
Filed under: Homo sapiens (human)
Lineage: Eukaryota; Metazoa; Chordata; Mammalia; Primates; Hominidae
Description: HSALNT0294093
Source: RNAcentral